AUACGUAGGGUGCGAGCGUUGUCCGGAAUUAUUGGGCGUAAAGAGCUUGUAGGCGGUCCGUCGCGUCGGAAGUGAAAACUCAGGGCUUAACCCUGAGCCUGCUUUCGAUACGGGCAGACUUGAGGGAUGUAGGGGAGAACGGAAUUCCUGGUGGAGCGGUGGAAUGCGCAGAUAUCAGGAGGAACACCAGUGGCGAAGGCGGUUCUCUGGACAUUUCCUGACGCUGAGAAGCGAAAGCGUGGGGAGCAAACAGGCUUAGAUACCCUGGUAGUCCACGCCGUAAACGGUGGGCACUAGGUGUGGGACCCUUCCACGGGUUCCGUGCCGUAGCUAACGCAUUAAGUGCCCCGCCUGGGGAGUACGGCCGCAAGGCUAAA
Molecule: ribosomal RNA, 377 nt
Filed under: uncultured bacterium
Lineage: Bacteria
Description: bacterial SSU rRNA
Rfam family: Bacterial small subunit ribosomal RNA
Source: RNAcentral